RNAcentral lists this ribosomal RNA (449 nucleotides) under uncultured bacterium. Its description in RNAcentral is "bacterial SSU rRNA". It matches the Rfam family "Bacterial small subunit ribosomal RNA", at positions 355 to 825 of the family's 1533-position model. The record is from RNAcentral.
UGAGGAAUAUUGCACAAUGGGCGCAAGCCUGAUGCAGCGACGCCGCGUGGGUGAUGAAGGUCUUCGGAUCGUAAAGCCCUUUUUCUGCGUGACGAGACAGGACGGUAGCGCAGGAAUAAGUCUCGGCUAACUACGUGCCAGCAGCCGCGGUAAAACGUAGGAGACGAACGUUAUCCGGAGUUACUGGGCGUAAAGGGCGUGUAGGCGGUUUGUUAAGUCUGGCGUGAAAGCUCUCGGCUAAACCGGGAGAGGUCGUUGGAUACUGGCGAACUAGAGGAUGGUGGAGGCGUGUGGAAUUCCGGGUGUAGUGGUGAAAUGCGUAGAGAUCCGGAGGAACACCAGUGGCGAAGGCGACACGCUGGGCCAUACCUGACGCUAAAGCGCGACAGCAUGGGGAGCAAACAGGAUUAGAUACCCCCGUAGUCCCUGAGCGGGCUGGCAAGGCGCAU